RNAcentral lists this ribosomal RNA (258 nucleotides) under uncultured bacterium. RNAcentral describes it as "partial 16S ribosomal RNA". It matches the Rfam family "Bacterial small subunit ribosomal RNA", at positions 96 to 354 of the family's 1533-position model. The record is from RNAcentral.
CGGCGGACGGGUGAGUAACGCGUGGGCAACCUGCCUUACACAGGGGGAUAACAGUUAGAAAUGACUGCUAAUACCGCAUAAGACCGCAGUACCGCAUGGUACAGCGGUAAAAACUCCGGUGGUGUAAGAUGGGCCCGCGUCUGAUUAGGUAGUUGGCGGGGUAACGGCCCACCAAGCCGACGAUCAGUAGCCGACCUGAGAGGGUGACCGGCCACAUUGGGACUGAGACACGGCCCAGACUCCUACGGGAGGCAGCAG